GAGCCUCGCCGCUUCUCUCGAGAGGACGUGCGCGCUCGUACGUUCCACCUGCGUCGUCCUAGCAAGCGUGAAUCAUCGCGAGGCACGUCGUUCUUUGCGAGAUACGUGCGUCGUGGACGCGUCACGCGACACCUUCUUUUUCUCUUCGAUCUUCCUCGUCCCAAGAUAUUCGUCGUUUCAUUCACACGUUGCUGUAGAUCGUGAGAGAGGUGUGGCAGACGGUUGGAAAAUUUAUAGAGACUUUGUUGAUUUUAGGUUAGUAAAAAUGUUUAGGUUAGUUUAUUCGUAGAUGGAUUUGAAACGUAUCGAAAUCGUUGACAGAUUGGAUAAGAUUAAUAUUAAUAACAAAAUAGACGAAGAUGAAGUAUAUACAAAGGCUCAUGUCAUGUUUCCAAACUUAAACGCGUCUCAUCAUCCGAAGGGACGAUGUUGAAACCUGAUCGGCGAGUCGAAAGAUCCGCGUCACAGGACCAAUUACGUCACCCCCUGUACAGGCUGGCUCGUGCAUCGUGUGGCCGGCAAGAAGAAGUGGGUAAAUGGAUCUGGAUCAUUGGAGCGAGACACGAGGCGUCCUAGAUGGGGAGGGUUGGAGAGGGAGGAACGUCGUCACGUCCGCGGACGCAGGAUGUUUUAUGGAUUUAUAAUUUGUCGCGUAGUAUCGCCACGAGCUGAGGAGAGAUUCCUUUAUUUUCCAUUGAUUUUUCUUCUUUUUUUUUUUUUUUUUACGGAGCCUCGAUGUGGAAUCGCGCGCGAGGAACAGGAAACGGCGUGCAGGUUCGAGAUUGGAUGAUCGAUGAUGGUUUUCGGCGGAUAUACGGGUAUUUUGUUCCCAGGCGUGAGAGAAUUCUUUCUCCACCUCGAGGAAGAGAGAGAGAGAGAGAUUCUCGAAGAAAUACAAAAUACUUGUCUAAGAGCUUUCUUAAAUUUACGAUUCGCGAAUGAAUCGGCUGGUAACGAGCAAAGAUUACGGCUAAAUAAAUUCAUCGAAAAAAGAGGGAAAACAAAGAAGAAGAGGAGAAAGAGGAAGAAGAAGAAGAAGAAGGAAAGGAACGGCAAGAUCGAUAACCGUUUCGGCAAAUUUCUCGAUCGUAAAACAAGAUUGUUGGCGUUUUAACGGCGGGAUCGAGGGGUUAGAUUUACAUGUGGUUCGAUGGAAGAACCGUUGGCUCGCGGAAGGCGCGAAAGGAAAAGAUUCGAUUUGACGCGGCGUCAGCUGACAGCGUAUUCUUACGCUCGCGCGGAACACUGCAAUUUUCUCGCCAACGUUUAUUUAAUAUGCCCCAUGAACGUCUAUUGAAUAGGCAGACGGUUGUUGCGGUUUUAAAACGUGGACUCCGCCGUUUAAUUGACGCAAAUCAUUGGAAUCAACCGGGAUAAAGCGCGAUCCAUUAUUUUUUCCCUCCCUCCUCCCCUCUCGUUCGAGCAGUUUCGAUCGUGCACGAUCGGACGAUCGAUCGUGUGUAUCGGGCGCGUCGAUCGAUAAUGACGCAUAAUUAACGUAGUCGAGGCGAGUGGAAAUUAAGAGAGUGAUUGUCAACGAAGAGAAAGAGAGAGGGUUUCUUCUUUUCUCUUUCUCGUUUUCUUUUCUAUUCUUUUUCUCUUUCUUUCUUUCUUUCUUUCUUUCUUCGUCCCCUUCUUCUUUUUUCACGAUCGCCACGGAACGUGUUAUUAGAAGUAGUUAUUGAUAAACGUACGAUAAUUGCACGCUUGUGUUCGCGCCACGAUGACGAUGAAACUCUCCCAACGAUGAAAAUCCUUAUGGUCUUUAAACAUUUUUGCGCCGUUUCCACGUCUGAGCUUUAAAGAAUUUUUUCAGGAAGUUGGUACGUGAUGUUGGCGAUAUCGAGUUACGAACGGAUGUGUAAAGAGAAAUAAACAGCGAGAAACUUUUCCAUUGUCGAGAACAAUGAAUAAUGUGUACUUAAAUAUAUAUAGUAUUAUAAGCGUUCAGUAGGUAACAUCAUACCUACAUCGAUGGUUAAAUAAUACAAUCCAAUCGUUUCCCCGCUCCCCGGACGAAAGUCAAUUUUCCUCUCGAGCCGUGCAAAAUCUGAAAUCGCGGUGAGCGGUUCGAACGAAACGUACGAUUUCGCUCGAACAAUUUUCACUCGAGAAACUUGUCCGGUGUCGUCGGCAUAUGGCGCUCGUUAACCGAUCCAACCUCUCUCGAACAUUCGUUCCUCGACAACAAAUCCGACAAACGUAACGCGAGAUCCCCCCUCGAAAUUCGCCGAUAAACACUGGAUCGUAAAAUCGAUCAUCUUGCCUGUUGGGCAAGAAACGUUGUCCCCGAUUUGCAAGGAUCUUCACUCGUAUCUCUUCCUUCGAUCCAAUUGCACGUACACACACUCGCUCGUGCAUUAUCGAUUAAAUGGUAAAUCGAUCCGUGCUCUCUUCUCGGCGAACGAAUCGUCACGUGACGAGGGGGAUAAAACCGAUUUUCCCAUCGGCGAUCGGUUAUCUACGCGGCCGGAGUCCGUGAACCAAGACAAAGAGACCUGAUUAAUCCUCGGCUUGACCCACGUGGCGACCGGAUACGGCGUAACCGGGAUGCAGGAUAACGGUUCCCACCGAUCCACGCCGCGAGGAGGAGAGAGAGAAGCCGCGGCGGACACCGGACGCGCCGCGCGAUCUUUCGAUACUCCGUUUCGUUCGAAAUUUCCUCAUCUCAUCGUGCGAGCAGAAAUUGAGAGGAAGAAAAAGGGGAAGAUUUAAGAUGUUAUAAUCUUUUGGAUCAUUCGUCAAUUCCUGUUUGAAGUUUAGACGGUUAAAUGAUUCGACUUUUGUUGCACCGAAGCGAAGACUAUCUUUCACCUCGAAUUGUUAGAAAUUAGCUUAGAGAUUUUUUCAGAGCAUUUCACGCGGAGCUAAUAACUUUCAUAUAUGUUCCACGAAAAUAAAUAAACAAGUAAAGUAUCGUUAUAAAUUGCAAGCGAUGAAGAGAAGAUGAAAGAUCGGUUACAUCUUUGAAGUAAAAGUCUGGAAGAUCGGAAGUGAUCAGGAAACAUUCCAUUCCGAGUUUUUGGUCCCGAGUUUGCCGCGGAGAGAGCACGAUCCCGAGGAAAGCCCCCCCUCCCUAUUAUCGGUGCACGAGAGCAUGGAGAGUUAGUUGGCCGCGCGAGGAAAGCACGUCCCGAGUCAUUGGUAUUCCACGAGCACCUCUCUGAGUAGCUCUGAUUCUAGACGUAAUUCACGGAAUCCUCGUUUCGGACAGACCAGGAAUCCCUAUAUUCAGCCACGCGGGACGCAUACCCGAUCAGCGAGCAGCCUCUCCUCGGCCUCUCCGUGUCCACGAAAAUUUCGUGGAACGUGCGCCCGAAUUUUCCGAAACCCGCCCUUUCGAUCCUCCACUGUACGAAAGGGAAAUUUAUCGCUCCACGUGCCUUUGACCUGUCCGUGCACCCCUCGCAGAAAUGUGCGCCUCGUGGAAAUCUACGGCUCUUCUUUCUCAGAGAAUAGAGAGAGAAAAGGAGAGGAAUAAUUCGUAGAAAAUAAAUUCUCACUACGCGUUAUUUUGUAUAAUUGGAACGACUAUUAAUCAAGAGAAUAAUUUUGUUUAAAUUUUAUUAUUAUAAAUUGGGGUACCCUGUUUUCGUAUCAACGAAGCGUUUUUGUGUUCGACUCGACUCGCGAAAUUCGAUACUGGAUUCCGUCGAAGCGAUUGGAAAAAGGGGAGGGAGGGAAGCCGGUGGACGAAAUAUUCGAAAGGAUUGGAAAAGAAUCCUCUUUCCGACGUUUCCCAUGGGCGAAGGCGCAUGGAUCUCGCCCCGCUUAAUUAAGAUUCAGAGAAUGAACAGUUUCUCGAUCAGUAGCCACCGCAUAAAUUUAAUUACGAUAAGGCGGCGGUGCACACGAUGUUUAUCUGGCUAAAUAAAUCCCCCGUUAACUGGAUUUAUUAAUCGGACACGCACAUGCUACGCCGCGACCCGUUACCCGUCCUCCCGUUCGUUUUGCGUUGUUGCGCGCCGUUUCAGAGAGGCGAAGCGGCCGCCGCAAAAUACCCGCCAAUAAUUCUCGUUUUUGUCAAUAUUUAUGUUUCCUAUUGCGCGACAUUAAAAUAAUUGCCGGGCUCAUUAUAGGAUCGCAAUCGUGGUUUCCACGGUGAAGUCACGGAACGGCGAUAACCUGGCGACCAGCAACGAUCUUCGUUCCCGCCAUUUCAACGAUUCCGUAUCCUCGAAAACUAUUUUUAUCGCUGCUUUCUUUCAGCGAUCGAAUCGUUUUGCCUCGAAUCACGGAGGUAAAGUGCACAGAGUCGAAUCAAACGAGGAAAGAUAUCUGUAGGAGAGGAGAUUAAAAUUUUUGUAUUUUUAUACCGUGAUUGUGAUCGAAAUUUUUAUUAGAAUCACAGAUAUAAAGUGCACAGAAUCGAAUCAAAAGAUAUCGCUAGGAAAGAAGGUUAAAAUUUUUGUAUUUUUAUACCGUGAUUGUGAUUUAACUUUUUAUUAGAAUCACAGAGGUAAAGUGCAUAGAAUUAAAUGAAGGAAGAUAUGGAAGAGGAGAUUAAAAUUUUUGUAUUUUUAUACCGUGUGAUCGAAAUUUUUAUUAGAAUCACAGAGGUAAAGUGCAAAAAGUUGAAUCAAACGAGGAAGAUCAAAAAUUUUUAUAUUUUUAUACCAUGAUUGUGAUCGAAAUUUAUAUUAAAAUCACAAAGGUAAAGUGCUCGGAAUUGAACAAGGGAAGAUAUGGGAGAGGAGAUUAAAAUUUUUUUAUUUUUAUACCGAACUUUUUACUCGAAUCACAGAGGUAAAGUGCACAGAAUCAAACGAGGA
Molecule: long non-coding RNA, 4772 nt
Organism: Apis mellifera (honey bee)
Lineage: Eukaryota; Metazoa; Arthropoda; Insecta; Hymenoptera; Apidae
Exons: 4
Source: RefSeq, a predicted model, not a curated record